RNAcentral lists this ribosomal RNA (435 nucleotides) under uncultured bacterium. RNAcentral's name for it is "partial 16S ribosomal RNA". It matches the Rfam family "Bacterial small subunit ribosomal RNA", at positions 29 to 507 of the family's 1533-position model. The record is from RNAcentral.
AGCGAACGCUGGCGGCAGGCUUAACACAUGCAAGUCGAGCGGGCACUUUCGGGUGUCCGCGGCGGACGGGUGAGUAACGCGUGGGAACGUGCCCUCUGGUUCGGAAUAACUCAGGGAAACUUGAGCUAAUACCGGAUACGCCCUUUUGGGGAAAGGCUUGCUGCCGGAGGAUCGGCCCGCGUCUGAUUAGCUAGUUGGUGCGGUAACGGCUCACCAAGGCGACGAUCAGUAGCUGGUCUGAGAGGAUGAUCAGCCACACUGGGACUGAGACACGGCCCAGACUCCUACGGGAGGCAGCAGUGGGGAAUAUUGGACAAUGGGCGCAAGCCUGAUCCAGCCAUGCCGCGUGAGUGAUCAAGGCCUUAGGGUUGUAAAGCUCUUUUAUCCGGGACGAUAAUGACGGUACCGGAGGAAUAAGCCCCGGCUAACUUCGUG